Molecule: ribosomal RNA, 447 nt
Filed under: uncultured bacterium
Lineage: Bacteria
Description: partial 16S ribosomal RNA
Rfam family: Bacterial small subunit ribosomal RNA
Source: RNAcentral
UGCCAGACUCCUACGGGAGGCAGCAGUGGGGGAUAUUGCACAAUGGGGGGAACCCUGAUGCAGCGACGCCGCGUGGGUGAAGGAGUAUUUCGGUAUGUAAAGCCCUAUCGGCAGGGAAGAAGCAAGACGGUACCUGACUAAGAAGCCCCGGCUAACUACGUGCCAGCAGCCGCGGUAAUACGUAGGGGGCGAGCGUUAUCCGGAUUCACUGGGUGUAAAGGGAGCGUAGACGGCCAAGCAAGCCAGGGGUGAAAGCCCGGGGCCCAACCCCGGGACUGCCCUUGGAACUGCGUGGCUGGAGUGCAGGAGGGGCAGGCGGAAUUCCUGGUGUAGCGGUGAAAUGCGUAGAUAUCAGGAGGAACACCGGUGGCGAAGGCGGCCUUCUGGACUGCAACUGACGUUGAGGCCCGAAAGCGUGGGGAGCAAACAGGAUUAGAUACCCUGGUA